RNAcentral lists this ribosomal RNA (279 nucleotides) under uncultured bacterium. Its description in RNAcentral is "partial 16S ribosomal RNA". It matches the Rfam family "Bacterial small subunit ribosomal RNA", at positions 506 to 784 of the family's 1533-position model. The record is from RNAcentral.
UGCCAGCCGCCGCGGUAAUACAUAGGGGGUUAGCGUUGUUCGGAAUUACUGGGCGUAAAGCGUACGUAGGCGGAUCAGAAAGUAUGGGGUGAAAUCCCAGGGCUCAACCCUGGAACUGCCUCAUAAACUCCUGGUCUAGAGUUCGAGAGAGGUGAGUGGAACUCCAAGUGUAGAGGUGAAAUUCGUAGAUAUUUGGAAGAACACCAGUGGCGAAGGCGGCUCACUGGCUCGAUACUGACGCUGAGGUGCGAAAGUGUGGGGAGCAAACAGGAUUAGAUA